UAGGGAAUCUUCCACAAUGGACGCAAGUCUGAUGGAGCAACGCCGCGUGAGUGAAGAAGGCUUUCGGGUCGUAAAACUCUGUUGUUGGAGAAGAAUGGUUGGCAGAGUAACUGUUGUCGGCGUGACGGUAUCCAACCAGAAAGCCACGGCUAACUACGUGCCAGCAGCCGCGGUAAUACGUAGGUGGCAAGCGUUAUCCGGAUUUAUUGGGCGUAAAGC
This 219-nucleotide ribosomal RNA is filed under the name uncultured bacterium. RNAcentral's name for it is "partial 16S ribosomal RNA". It matches the Rfam family "Bacterial small subunit ribosomal RNA", at positions 355 to 566 of the family's 1533-position model. The record is from RNAcentral.